This 253-nucleotide ribosomal RNA is filed under the name uncultured bacterium. RNAcentral's name for it is "partial 16S ribosomal RNA". It matches the Rfam family "Bacterial small subunit ribosomal RNA", at positions 524 to 776 of the family's 1533-position model. The record is from RNAcentral.
UACGUAGGGUGCGAGCGUUAAUCGGAAUUACUGGGCGUAAAGCGUGCGCAGGCGGUUUUGUAAGCCAGAUGUGAAAUCCCCGGGCUUAACCUGGGAAUGGCAUUUGGGACUGCAAGGCUUGAGUGCGGCAGAGGAGACUGGAAUUCCCGGUGUAGCAGUGAAAUGCGUAGAUAUCGGGAAGAACACCAGUGGCGAAGGCGGCUAUCUGGACGGUUUCUGACGCUAAGACGCGAAAGCGUGGGGAGCAAACAGG